Molecule: ribosomal RNA, 257 nt
Filed under: uncultured bacterium
Lineage: Bacteria
Description: partial 16S ribosomal RNA
Rfam family: Bacterial small subunit ribosomal RNA
Source: RNAcentral
UACGAAGGGGGCGAGCGUUGUUCGGAAUUACUGGGCGUAAAGGGCGCGCAGGCGGCCUUAGAAGUCAGAUGUGAAAGCCCCGGGCAUCCAACCUGGGAAAUGGGCAUUUGUAUCUCUGAGGCUGGAGUACGGGAGAGGAGAGUGGAAUUCCCAGUGUAGAGGUGAAAUUCGUAGAUAUUGGGAAGAACACCGGUGGCGAAGGCGGCUCUCUGGACCGUAACUGACGCUGAGGCGCGAAAGCGUGGGGAGCAAACAGG